RNAcentral lists this ribosomal RNA (253 nucleotides) under uncultured bacterium. Its description in RNAcentral is "partial 16S ribosomal RNA". It matches the Rfam family "Bacterial small subunit ribosomal RNA", at positions 524 to 776 of the family's 1533-position model. The record is from RNAcentral.
UACAUAGGGGGCAAGCGUUAUCCGGAAUUAUUGGGUGUAAAGGGUGCGUAGACGGAGAAACAAGUUGGUUGUGAAAUCCCUCGGCUCAACCGAGGAACUGCAACCAAAACUAUUUCCCUUGAGUGUCGGAGAGGAAAGUGGAAUUCCUAGUGUAGCGGUGAAAUGCGUAGAUAUUAGGAGGAACAUCAGUGGCGAAGGCGACUUUCUGGACGAUAACUGACGUUGAGGCACGAAAGUGUGGGGAGCAAACAGG